GACGAACGCUGGCGGCGUGCUUAACACAUGCAAGUCGAACGGAAAGGCCCUGCUUUUGUGGGGUGCUCGAGUGGCGAACGGGUGAGUAACACGUGAGUAACCUGCCCUUGACUUUGGGAUAACUUCAGGAAACUGGGGCUAAUACCGGAUAGGAGCUCCUGCUGCAUGGUGGGGGUUGGAAAGUUUCGGCGGUUGGGGAUGGACUCGCGGCUUAUCAGCUUGUUGGUGGGGUAGUGGCUUACCAAGGCUUUGACGGGUAGCCGGCCUGAGAGGGUGACCGGCCACAUUGGGACUGAGAGACGGCCCAGACUCCUACGGGGGGCAGCAGUGGGGAAGAUUGCACAAUGGGUGGAAGCCUGAUGCAGCAACGCCGUGGGCGGGAUGACGGCCUUCGGGUUGGAAACCGCUUUCGCUCAUGACGAAGCUUUGUGUGACGGUAGUGGGUAAAGAAGCACCGGCUAACUACGUG
RNAcentral lists this ribosomal RNA (469 nucleotides) under uncultured bacterium. Its description in RNAcentral is "partial 16S ribosomal RNA". It matches the Rfam family "Bacterial small subunit ribosomal RNA", at positions 28 to 507 of the family's 1533-position model. The record is from RNAcentral.